UACGGAGGGCGCAAGCGUUAUCCGGAAUUAUUGGGUUUAAAGGGUGCGUAGGCGGUUCUUUAAGUCCGGGGUGAAAGCCCACUGCUCAACAGUGGAACUGCCCUGGAAACUGGAGAACUUGAGUACAGACGAGGGCGGCGGAAUGGAUGGUGUAGCGGUGAAAUGCAUAGAUACCAUCCAGAACCCCGAUUGCGAAGGCAGCUGCCUAGACUGUAACUGACGCUGAGGCACGAAAGCGUGGGGAGCGAACAGG
Molecule: ribosomal RNA, 253 nt
Filed under: uncultured bacterium
Lineage: Bacteria
Description: partial 16S ribosomal RNA
Rfam family: Bacterial small subunit ribosomal RNA
Source: RNAcentral